This 253-nucleotide ribosomal RNA is filed under the name uncultured bacterium. RNAcentral's name for it is "partial 16S ribosomal RNA". It matches the Rfam family "Bacterial small subunit ribosomal RNA", at positions 524 to 776 of the family's 1533-position model. The record is from RNAcentral.
UACGGAGGGUGCAAGCGUUAUCCGGAUUCACUGGGUUUAAAGGGUGCGUAGGAGGGCAGGUAAGUCAGUGGUGAAAUCCCGGGGCUUAACUCCGGAACUGCCGUUGAUACUAUCUGUCUUGAAUGCCGUGGAGGUGAGCGGAAUAUGUCAUGUAGCGGUGAAAUGCUUAGAUAUGACAUAGAACACCAAUUGCGAAGGCAGCUCGCUACACGAACAUUGACUCUGAGGCACGAAAGCGUGGGGAUCAAACAGG